UACGAAGGGGGCUAGCGUUGCUCGGAAUCACUGGGCGUAAAGGGCGCGUAGGCGGCCCUGUUAGUCAGGCGUGAAAUUCCUGGGCUCAACCUGGGGACUGCGCUUGAUACGGCGGGGCUUGAGGAUGGAAGAGGGUCGUGGAAUUCCCAGUGUAGAGGUGAAAUUCGUAGAUAUUGGGAAGAACACCGGUGGCGAAGGCGGCGACCUGGUCCAUUACUGACGCUGAGGCGCGACAGCGUGGGGAGCAAACAGGAUUAGAAACCCGGGUUAGUCC
RNAcentral lists this ribosomal RNA (274 nucleotides) under uncultured Roseomonas sp. RNAcentral describes it as "partial 16S ribosomal RNA". It matches the Rfam family "Bacterial small subunit ribosomal RNA", at positions 524 to 796 of the family's 1533-position model. The record is from RNAcentral. Lineage: Bacteria; Pseudomonadati; Pseudomonadota; Alphaproteobacteria; Acetobacterales; Roseomonadaceae.